Molecule: small nuclear RNA, 163 nt
Filed under: Cebus imitator (Panamanian white-faced capuchin)
Lineage: Eukaryota; Metazoa; Chordata; Mammalia; Primates; Cebidae
Description: U1 spliceosomal RNA (ENSCCAG00000007309.1)
Rfam family: U1 spliceosomal RNA
About the family: U1 is a small nuclear RNA (snRNA) component of the spliceosome (involved in pre-mRNA splicing). Its 5' end forms complementary base pairs with the 5' splice junction, thus defining the 5' donor site of an intron. There are significant differences in sequence and secondary structure between metazoan and yeast U1 snRNAs, the latter being much longer (568 nucleotides as compared to 164 nucleotides in human).
Source: Rfam by way of RNAcentral
AUACUGGCAGGGGAGAUACCAUGAUCACGAAGGUGGUUUUCCCAGGGCGAGGCUUAUCCAUUGCACUCUGGAUGUGCCGAUCCCUGUGAUUUCCCCAAAUGUGGGAAACUCGACUGGGUAAUUUGUGGUAGAAGGGGACUGCGUGUGUUCAUGCUUUCCCCAG